GUCUACAGCCAUACCACCCUGAACGUGCCCGAUCUUGUCUGAUCUCAGAAGCUAAGCAGGGUCAGGCCUGGUUAGUACUUGGAUGGGAAGAAUCCUCCAGUUACCAUGGAGU
RNAcentral lists this ribosomal RNA (112 nucleotides) under Octodon degus (degu). Lineage: Eukaryota; Metazoa; Chordata; Mammalia; Rodentia; Octodontidae. The record is from RNAcentral.